Molecule: ribosomal RNA, 460 nt
Filed under: uncultured bacterium
Lineage: Bacteria
Description: partial 16S ribosomal RNA
Rfam family: Bacterial small subunit ribosomal RNA
Source: RNAcentral
CCUACGGGAGGCAGCAGUGAGGAAUAUUGGUCAAUGGACGAGAGUCUGAACCAGCCAAGCAGCGUGAAGGAUGACUGCCCUAUGGGUUGUAAAUUUCUUUUAUAUGGGAAUAAAAUGUUCCACGUGUGGGAUUUCGUAUGUACCAUAUGAAUAAGGAUCGGCUAACUCCGUGCCAGCAGCCGCGGUAAUACGGAGGAUCCGAGCGUUAUCCGGGUUUGUUGGGUUUAAAGGGAACGUAGGUGGAUUGUUAAGUCAGUUGGGAAAAUUUGGGGCUCAACCGUAAGAUUGCAGUUGAAACUAGCAGUCUUGAGUACAGUAGAGGUGAGCGGAAUUCGUGGUGUAGCGGUGAAAUGCUUAGAGAUAACGAAGAACUCCGAUUGCGAAGGCAGCUCACUGGACUGCAACUGACACUGAGGCUCGAAAGUGUGGGUAUCAAACAGGAUUAGAUACCCUUGUAGUC